UGGGGAAUAUUGCGCAAUGGACGAAAGUCUGACGCAGCGACGCCGCGUGAGGGAUGAAGGUCCUCGGAUCGUAAACCUCUGUCGGAAGGGAAGAAAGCGCAUGGCGCCAAUCAGUCAUGCGUUGACGGUACCUUCAAAGGAAGCGCCGGCCAACUCCGUGCCAGCAGCCGCGGUAAUACGGAGGGCGCAAGCGUUAAUCGGAAUUACUGGGCGUAAAGCGCGCGUAGGCUGUUGUGUAAGUCAGGGGUGAAAUCCCACGGCUUAACCGUGGAACUGCCUUUGAUACUGCGCGACUUGAAUCCGGGAGAGGGUGGCGGAAUUCCAGGUGUAGGAGUGAAAUCCGUAGAUAUCUGGAGGAACACCAGUGGCGAAGGCGGCCACCUGGACCGGUAUUGACGCUGAGGUGCGAAAGCGUGGGGAGCAAACAGG
Molecule: ribosomal RNA, 429 nt
Filed under: uncultured bacterium
Lineage: Bacteria
Description: bacterial SSU rRNA
Rfam family: Bacterial small subunit ribosomal RNA
Source: RNAcentral